Molecule: ribosomal RNA, 434 nt
Filed under: uncultured Lachnospiraceae bacterium
Lineage: Bacteria; Bacillati; Bacillota; Clostridia; Lachnospirales; Lachnospiraceae
Description: partial 16S ribosomal RNA
Rfam family: Bacterial small subunit ribosomal RNA
Source: RNAcentral
ACGGAAGGCAGCAGUGGGGAAUAUUGCACAAUGGGCGCAAGCCUGAUGCAGCGACGCCGCGUGAGUGAAGAAGUAUUUCGGUAUGUAAAGCUCUAUCAGCAGGAAAGAAAAUGACGGUACCUGACUAAGAAGCCCCGGCUAACUCCGUGCCAGCAGCCGCGGUAAUACGGAGGAUGCAAGCGUUAUCCGGAUUUAUUGGGUUUAAAGGGUGCGUAGGCUGUCUGUCAAGUCAGUGGUGAAAGCCCUGAGCUCAACUCAGGAACUGCCAUUGAUACUGUCAGGCUGGAAUACGGAUGCCGUGGGAGGAAUGAGUAGUGUAGCGGUGAAAUGCAUAGAUAUUACUCAGAACACCGAUUGCGAAGGCAUCUCACGAAUCCGUCAUUGACGCUGAGGCACGAAAGCGUGGGGAUCAAACAGGAUUAGAUACCCUGGUA